This 1065-nucleotide long non-coding RNA is filed under the name Theobroma cacao (cacao). Its description in RNAcentral is "long non-coding RNA (TCAC_LNC001818)". Lineage: Eukaryota; Viridiplantae; Streptophyta; Magnoliopsida; Malvales; Malvaceae. The record is from RNAcentral.
UGAGCACCCACAUGAGCACUUAAGGUUCAUUUACAGAAUUUUCAUGAAAUGUACAAGAUACAAAUAUUGUGAAAGAAAAGCGUAUACACAACUUAUGUUGAAAAGUUCCAUAAUGGUGUAUUUAUGCCUUUGUAAUGUUGAAAAGUUCAUCAUCAAGUCACACAUUAUCAUUGAAUAAAAUUUAAACAUUAAGAACCAAACCAAGAAAAUAAGAGAAUAAAAGAAAAUAUUGAAAAACUCAAGAAUUGUAUUCUUGAUCUCCAAAUCUCCUUGAAUCCUGCAAAUUCUUCUUAGCUUCAAUGACUCUGUGGCUUGACUCUUAGAUGUUAAUCUAGUGUUUCUUCCUUCUCCUUUUCAAGUCCUCCGAGAGGUUGUUUUUAUAGGCUUUGAAGUUAGGCCAAGUUGGGUAAAGAAAGAAGUCAAUUUCAGCUAGGAUUUCCUCAUCAGACUAUGUAAGUCGCAGCUUUGCCCAAUCAAUUAACAGAAAUCGUAAUUGCUCUAGGACUGCUGCAGUGUGUCAACUUCAACAAGAUUUUUGACAAUCCUAAAAGAAGACCUGGGUGAAGUAGUAAACACAAAAGUUGUAGUUUUUUCCCUCAUCUUUCCAAUGGCCUAAGAAUCACUUCAUUUGAAUCUCUGUAGAGAAAUUUAUGGCCAAAAUACCAAAACAUGUACAUUAGAAGUCUGCACCUUAAAAUUGCUCUCCUUCUUUUACUAAAAUUCUUAUUUUAAACACCUACAAAAGCACAAAUAAAUCAAUAACAACCAAUCUUAUCCUCAUUAAUACCAAAUUAAGCAUAACAUUGACCAUGAUUAGAUUGACUCACCUAAAAUAACUAAUUUAAAAUAAUUAAAUAAAACUUACUAAUUUCUAUGCAUUACUACAAAAACCAAGCCAAAUUAUUAUCAAAAUUAAGUUCAAAUAACUUUAUAUCAUAGAGUUAUCAUACCCUCAGACUUAAGAUUUUGCUAGUCCACAAGCAAAACAUAAAAAAGAACCUAACUUACGAAAAUCAAAUUCAGCUAAUGAAAACUAAAAAAAAUAUAGUUACUACUACUACUACU